GCACCCGUCAUCGGGGAGUAGCCGCCCUGCCACCACCGGCAGGGGCCCGCGUCAACACACUUGGUCCUCACGACCAUGGCGCGGGCAGCAUCCAGCCUGGCAAGACCUUUGACUGCACGCCUUCCGGUCGGGCCGGGGUGGCGGCGCAGUCCAUCGUCUUUUCGCCGGCCCCGGGAU
RNAcentral lists this small RNA (177 nucleotides) under beta proteobacterium AAP65. RNAcentral's name for it is "Manganese Mn2+ riboswitch aptamer (yybP-ykoY)". It matches the Rfam family "Manganese Mn2+ riboswitch aptamer (yybP-ykoY)". From Rfam's summary of the family: This RNA was originally discovered in E. coli during a large scale screen and was named SraF. The family was later found to exist upstream of related families of protein genes in many bacteria, including the the yybP and ykoK genes in B. subtilis. The specific functions of these proteins are unknown, but this structured RNA element may be involved in their genetic regulation as a riboswitch. Lineage: Bacteria; Pseudomonadati; Pseudomonadota; Betaproteobacteria. The record is from Rfam by way of RNAcentral. RNAcentral also lists the same sequence under 1 other name.